Molecule: ribosomal RNA, 120 nt
Filed under: uncultured bacterium
Lineage: Bacteria
Description: partial 16S ribosomal RNA
Rfam family: Bacterial small subunit ribosomal RNA
Source: RNAcentral
GACGAACGCUGGCGGCGUGCUUAACACAUGCAAGUCGAACGAGGUUCAGCCGAUCCUUCGGGGGAAGCGAAAAUCUAGUGGCGAACGGGUGCGUAACACGUGAGAAACCUGCCCCGGACU